GCCCGGGUGGCGGAAUUGGUAUACGCGGAGGACUUAAAAUCCUUAACCCGUAAGGGUGUGCGGGUUCGACUCCCGCCCUGGGCACCA
RNAcentral lists this transfer RNA (87 nucleotides) under Candidatus Uhrbacteria bacterium. RNAcentral's name for it is "tRNA-Leu". It matches the Rfam family "tRNA". From Rfam's summary of the family: Transfer RNA (tRNA) molecules are approximately 80 nucleotides in length. Their secondary structure includes four short double-helical elements and three loops (D, anti-codon, and T loops). Further hydrogen bonds mediate the characteristic L-shaped molecular structure. tRNAs have two regions of fundamental functional importance: the anti-codon, which is responsible for specific mRNA codon recognition, and the 3' end, to which the tRNAs corresponding amino acid is attached (by aminoacyl-tRNA synthetases). tRNAs cope with the degeneracy of the genetic code in two manners: having more than one tRNA (with a specific anti-codon) for a particular amino acid; and 'wobble' base-pairing, i.e. permitting non-standard base-pairing at the 3rd anti-codon position. The record is from RNAcentral. Lineage: Bacteria; Candidatus Uhriibacteriota.